GCCCGGAUGACGAAAUCGGUAGACGUAGCGGACUUAAAAUCCGCGCCCGCAAGGGGUACGGGUUCAACUCCCGUUCCGGGCACCA
RNAcentral lists this transfer RNA (85 nucleotides) under Azonexus sp. RNAcentral's name for it is "tRNA-Leu". It matches the Rfam family "tRNA". From Rfam's summary of the family: Transfer RNA (tRNA) molecules are approximately 80 nucleotides in length. Their secondary structure includes four short double-helical elements and three loops (D, anti-codon, and T loops). The record is from RNAcentral. Lineage: Bacteria; Pseudomonadati; Pseudomonadota; Betaproteobacteria; Rhodocyclales; Azonexaceae.